UACAGAGGUCUCAAGCGUUGUUCGGAUUUAUUGGGCGUAAAGGGUGUGUAGGUGGCGCCGUAAGUCGGGGGUGAAAUUUCGGAGCUUAACUCCGAAACUGCAUUCGAUACUGCGGUGCUUGAGGACUGGAGAGGAGACUGGAAUUCACGGUGUAGCGGUGAAAUGCGUAGAUAUCGUAAGGAAGACCAGUGGCGAAGGCGGGUCUCUGGACAGUUCCUGACGCUGAGGCACGAAGGCCAGGGGAGCAAACGGG
RNAcentral lists this ribosomal RNA (253 nucleotides) under uncultured bacterium. RNAcentral describes it as "partial 16S ribosomal RNA". It matches the Rfam family "Bacterial small subunit ribosomal RNA", at positions 524 to 776 of the family's 1533-position model. The record is from RNAcentral.